AUACGUAGGUGGCGAGCGUUGUCCGGAUUUACUGGGCGUAAAGGGAGCGUAGGUGGAUUUUUUAAGUGGAGAUGUGAAAUACUCGGGCUUAACCUGAGUGCUGCAUUUCAAACUGGAAGUCUAGAGUGCAGGAGAGGAGAAGGGAAUUCCUAGUGUAGCGGUGAAAUGCGUAGAGAUUAGGAAGAACACCAGUGGCGAAGGCGCUUCUCUGGACUGUAACUGACGCUGAGGCUCGAAAGCGUGGGGAGC
This 249-nucleotide ribosomal RNA is filed under the name uncultured bacterium. Its description in RNAcentral is "partial 16S ribosomal RNA". It matches the Rfam family "Bacterial small subunit ribosomal RNA", at positions 523 to 769 of the family's 1533-position model. The record is from RNAcentral.